GGAUCAAUAUAUUGGUCGUGCCUUCGGUAUGCACUGGUAUCAUUGAUUUCUACCUUCUGACGAACUAUGAUGUCAUUAAUUUGGUGUCAUGGGGAAUCAGGACUGUUACUUUGAAAAAAUUAGAGUGUUUAAAGCAGGCACACGCUUGAAUACAUUAGCAUGGAAUAAUGAAAUAGGACGACGAUCCUAUUUUGUUGGUUUCUAGGAUUGACGUA
Molecule: ribosomal RNA, 215 nt
Filed under: uncultured fungus
Lineage: Eukaryota; Fungi
Description: partial small subunit ribosomal RNA
Rfam family: Eukaryotic small subunit ribosomal RNA (bases 38-215)
Source: RNAcentral